GAUGAACGCUGGCGGCGUGCCUAAUACAUGCAAGUCGAGCGAACGGACGAGAAGCUUGCUCCUCUGAUGUUAGCGGCGGACGGGUGAGUAACACGUGGAUAACCUACCUAUAAGACUGGGAUAACUUCGGGAAACCGGAGCUAAUACCGGAUAAUAUUUUGAACCGCAUGGUUCAAAAGUGAAAGACGGUCUUGCUGUCACUUAUAGAUGGAUCCGCGCUGCAUUAGCUAGUUGGUAAGGUAACGGCUUACCAAGGCAACGAUGCAUAGCCGACCUGAGAGGGUGAUCGGCCACACUGGAACUGAGACACGGUCCAGACUCCUACGGGAGGCAGCAGUAGGGAAUCUUCCGCAACGGGCGAAAGCCUGACGGAGCAACGCCGCGUGAGUGAUGAAGGUCUUCGGAUCGUAAAACUCUGUUAUUAGGGAAGAACAUAUGUGUAAGUAACUGUGCACAUCUUGACGGUACCUAAUCAGAAAGCCACGGCUAACUACGUG
This 497-nucleotide ribosomal RNA is filed under the name uncultured bacterium. RNAcentral's name for it is "partial 16S ribosomal RNA". It matches the Rfam family "Bacterial small subunit ribosomal RNA", at positions 28 to 507 of the family's 1533-position model. The record is from RNAcentral.